RNAcentral lists this transfer RNA (55 nucleotides) under Dinobdella ferox. RNAcentral's name for it is "tRNA-Glu". The record is from RNAcentral. Lineage: Eukaryota; Metazoa; Annelida; Clitellata; Hirudinida; Hirudinidae.
AUAUGGUGUAACUAGUCACAUUAAAUUUUCAUUUUAAAGGAGUAAGACUACUAUA